GAUGAACGCUGGCGGCGUGCCUAAUACAUGCAAGUCGAGCGAACAGACGAGGAGCUUGCUCCUCUGACGUUAGCGGCGGACGGGUGAGUAACACGUGGAUAACCUACCUAUAAGACUGGGAUAACUUCGGGAAACCGGAGCUAAUACCGGAUAAUAUAUUGAACCGCAUGGUUCAAUAGUGAAAGACGGUUUUGCUGUCACUUAUAGAUGGAUCCGCGCCGCAUUAGCUAGUUGGUAAGGUAACAGCUUACCACGGCAACGAUGCGUAGCCGACCUGAGAGGGGGAUCGGCCACACUGGAACGGGGACGCGGUCCAGACUCCUACGGGAGGCAGCAGUAGGGAAUCGUCCGCAAUGGGCGAAAGCCUGACGGAGCAACGCCGCGUGAGUGAUGAAGGUCUUCGGAUCGUAAAACUCUGUUAUUAGGGAAGAACAAAUGUGUAAGUAACUAUGCACGUCUUGACGGUACCUAAUCAGAAAGCCACGGCUAACUACGUG
This 497-nucleotide ribosomal RNA is filed under the name uncultured bacterium. Its description in RNAcentral is "partial 16S ribosomal RNA". It matches the Rfam family "Bacterial small subunit ribosomal RNA", at positions 28 to 507 of the family's 1533-position model. The record is from RNAcentral.